This 441-nucleotide ribosomal RNA is filed under the name Tegecoelotes secundus. RNAcentral describes it as "partial 16S ribosomal RNA". It matches the Rfam family "Bacterial large subunit ribosomal RNA", at positions 1894 to 2624 of the family's 2925-position model. Lineage: Eukaryota; Metazoa; Arthropoda; Arachnida; Araneae; Agelenidae. The record is from RNAcentral.
AANUUAGUAAUCUGCUCAUGAAAUUUAAAUAGCCGCAAUAUAUUUGUGCUAAGGUAGCAUAAUCAUUUGUCUUUUAAUUAAAGACUAGAACAAAAGAUUUAACAUUUCUAUUACUUUCUCAACUAUACUUAUUUAAUUUAUCUUAAAUAUAAAAAUAUAUUUAUUAUAUAAAAAGACGACAAGACCCUAUUGAACUUAACUAAAGUUUAACUGGGGUAGUUAAUUAAAUAUAAUUUUAAUUUAAAUUAAAAAAAAAAUCUAAUAAAAUUAAAACAAUCAAGUUACCAUAGGGAUAACAGCGUAAUAAUUUUCUAUAGUUCUUAUUUAAAAAAUAAUUUGCGACCUCGAUGUUGAAUUAAUAUUCUAUUAAAUGCAAUAAUUUAAUAAGAAAGUCUGUUCGACUUUUAAUAAAUUACAUGAUCUGAGCAAAANCCCGGGNGA